UUUCCUACGGGGGGCAGCAGUGGGGAAUAUUGGACAAUGGGCGAAAGCCUGAUCCAGCAAUGCCGCGUGUGUGAAGAAGGCCUGCGGGUUGUAAAGCACUUUAAGUGGGGAAGAACGGGAUUGUGCUAAUACCGCGAUCUUUUGACGUUACCCACAGAAUAAGCACCGGCUAACUCCGUGCCAGCAGCCGCGGUAAUACGGAGGGUGCGAGCGUUAAUCGGAAUUACUGGGCGUAAAGCGCAUGUAGGCGGUUUGAUAAGUCGGAUGUGAAAUCCCUGGGCUUAACCUGGGAAUGGCAUUCGAUACUGUCAGGCUAGAGUAGGAUAGAGGAGAGGGGAAUUCCGCGUGUAGCAGUGAAAUGCGUAGAUAUGCGGAGGAACACCAAUGGCGAAGGCACCUCUCUGGGUCCAUACUGACGCUGAGAUGCGAAAGCGUGGGGAGCAAACAGGAUUAGAUACCCCGGUAGUCAU
This 470-nucleotide ribosomal RNA is filed under the name uncultured Halothiobacillaceae bacterium. Its description in RNAcentral is "bacterial SSU rRNA". It matches the Rfam family "Bacterial small subunit ribosomal RNA", at positions 335 to 797 of the family's 1533-position model. The record is from RNAcentral. Lineage: Bacteria; Pseudomonadati; Pseudomonadota; Gammaproteobacteria; Chromatiales; Halothiobacillaceae.